Molecule: ribosomal RNA, 972 nt
Filed under: Plasmodium cynomolgi
Lineage: Eukaryota; Apicomplexa; Aconoidasida; Haemosporida; Plasmodiidae
Description: SSU rRNA
Rfam family: Eukaryotic small subunit ribosomal RNA
Source: RNAcentral
AGCUAAUACUUGCUUUAGCACUCUUGAUUAAGUUCUUGAGUGUGUACUUGUUAAGCCUUUUAAGAAAAAAGUUAUUAACUUAAGGAAUUAUAACAAAGAAGUAACACGUAAUGGAUCCGUCCAUUUUUAGUGUGUAUCAAUCGAGUUUCUGACCUACCAGCUUUUGAUGUUAGGGUAUUGGCCUAACAUGGCUAUGACGGGUAACGGGGAAUUAGAGUUCGAUUCCGGAGAGGGGGCCUGAGAAAUAGCUACCACAUCUAAGGAAGGCAGCAGGCGCGUAAAUUACCCAAUUCUAAAGAAGAGAGGUAGUGACAAGAAAUAACAAUACAAGGCCAAUCUGGCUUUGUAAUUGGAAUGAUGGGAAUUUAAAACCUUCCCAAAACUCAAUUGGAGGGCAAGUCUGGUGCCAGCAGCCGCGGUAAUUCCAGCUCCAAUAGCGUAUAUUAAAAUUGUUGCAGUUAAAACGCUCGUAGUUGAAUUUCAAAGAAUCGAUAUUUUAAGUAACGCUUUUAGCUUAAUCCACAUAACUGAUACUACGUAUCGACUUUGUGCGCAUUUUGCUAUUAUGUGUUCUUUUAAUUAAAAUGAUUCUUUUUAAGAUCUUUCUUUUGCUUCGGCAUUUGAAGACCUUGUUACUUUGAGUAAAUUAGAGUGUUCAAAGCAAACAGAUAUAGCAUUGCGCGUUUGAAUACUACAGCAUGGAAUAACAAAACUGAACAAGUCAGAAUUUUGUUCUUUUUUCUUAUUUUGGCUUAGUUACGAUUAAUAGGAGUAGCUUGGGGGCAUUUGUAUUCAGAUGUCAGAGGUGAAAUUCUUAGAUUUUCUGGAGACAAACAACUGCGAAAGCAUUUGCCUAAAAUACUUCCAUUAAUCAAGAACGAAAGUUAAGGGAGUGAAGACGAUCAGAUACCGUCGUAAUCUUAACCAUAAACUAUGCCGACUAGGCUUUGGAUGAAAGAUUUUAAAAUAAGA